Molecule: signal recognition particle RNA, 187 nt
Filed under: Poriferisphaera corsica
Lineage: Bacteria; Pseudomonadati; Planctomycetota; Phycisphaerae; Phycisphaerales; Phycisphaeraceae
Description: Planctomycetes bacterium KS4 Bacteria_large_SRP
Rfam family: Bacterial small signal recognition particle RNA (bases 53-152)
About the family: The signal recognition particle (SRP) is a universally conserved ribonucleoprotein involved in the co-translational targeting of proteins to membranes. Archaeal SRP consists of a 7S RNA and homologues of the eukaryotic SRP19 and SRP54 proteins.
Source: RNAcentral
CGGGUCUGUAAACGGCCCCAAGCUGUUUUCACGGAUCGCCGUGAGGAUAUGUGGCCGGACCCAAUGCACGGGUUGGCUCACGAACCGGGUCAGGCCUUGAUCGGAGCAGCCCUAAGUGGUUUCAGCCCGGUGCCGUUGGUGUUCUGGCCACUUAUCCACGCGGCGUUUUUUCAUGCAACAUGAGCCG